This 339-nucleotide RNase P RNA is filed under the name Candidatus Omnitrophota bacterium. Its description in RNAcentral is "RNase P RNA component class A". It matches the Rfam family "Bacterial RNase P class A". From Rfam's summary of the family: Ribonuclease P (RNase P) is a ubiquitous endoribonuclease, found in archaea, bacteria and eukarya as well as chloroplasts and mitochondria. Its best characterised activity is the generation of mature 5'-ends of tRNAs by cleaving the 5'-leader elements of precursor-tRNAs. Lineage: Bacteria; Pseudomonadati; Candidatus Omnitrophota. The record is from RNAcentral.
GGGGGUAGUCGGACGGUCGCCCUGAAUAUCAGGGAGGAAAGUCCGGACUCCUGCAGGGAAGAUGGCUCCUAACAGGAGCAGUCCGUAAUGACUGGAAAGUGCCACAGAAAUAACACCGCCCUCUAUAAAAGGAGGGUAAGGGUGAAAUGGUGAGGUAAGAGCUCACCGUCCAGAAGGUAACUGCUGGAGCAAAGGCAAACCCCAUCUGGAGCAAGGUCAAGUAGAACCUCAGGGUCCCUGCCCCAACAGGUUCGGGUUGACUGCUUGAACCUGAAGGUAACUUUAGGUCCAGAUGAAUGACCGUUUAAACAGAAUCCGGCUUAUGAACUACCCUCCGUU